CAGGCUUAACACAUGCAAGUCGAGGGGCAGCAUUUUAGUUUGCUUGCAAACUGAAGAUGGCGACCGGCGCACGGGUGAGUAACACGUAUCCAACCUGCCGAUAACUCCGGAAUAGCCUUUCGAAAGAAAGAUUAAUACCGGAUAGCAUACGAAUAUCGCAUGAUAUUUUUAUUAAAGAAUUUCGGUUAUCGAUGGGGAUGCGUUCCAUUAGUUUGUUGGCGGGGUAACGGCCCACCAAGACAACGAUGGAUAGGGGUUCUGAGAGGAAGGUCCCCCACAUUGGAACUGAGACACGGUCCAAACUCCUACGGGAGGCAGCAGUGAGGAAUAUUGGUCAAUGGGCGAGAGCCUGAACCAGCCAAGUAGCGUGAAGGAUGAAGGCUCUAUGGGUCGUAAACUUCUUUUAUAUGGGAAUAAAGUUUUCCACGUGUGGAAUUUUGUAUGUACCAUAUGAAUAAGGAUCGGCUAACUCCGUGCCAGCAGCCGCGGUAAUACGGAGGAUCCGAGCGUUAUCCGGAUUUAUUGGGUUUAAAGGGAGCGUAGGUGGAUUGUUAAGUCAGUUGUGAAAGUUUGCGGCUCAACCGUAAAAUUGCAGUUGAAACUGGCAGUCUUGAGUACAGUAGAGGUGGGCGGAAUUCGUGGUGUAGCGGUGAAAUGCUUAGAUAUCACGAAGAACUCCGAUUGCGAAGGCAGCUCACUAGACCGUCACUGACACUGAUGCUCGAAAGUGUGGGUAUCAAACAGGAUUAGAUACCCUGGUAGUCCACACAGUAAACGAUGAAUACUCGCUGUUUGCGAUAUACAGUAAGCGGCCAAGCGAAAGCAUUAAGUAUUCCACCUGGGGAGUACGCCGGCAACGGUGAAACUCAAAGGAAUUGACGGGGGCCCGCACAAGCGGAGGAACAUGUGGUUUAAUUCGAUGAUACGCGAGGAACCUUACCCGGGCUUAAAUUGCAACAGAAUAUAUUGGAAACAGUAUAGCCGUAAGGCUGUUGUGAAGGUGCUGCAUGGUUGUCGUCAGCUCGUGCCGUGAGGUGUCGGCUUAAGUGCCAUAACGAGCGCAACCCUUAUCUUUAGUUACUAACAGGUGAUGCUGAGGACUCUAGAGAGACUGCCGUCGUAAGAUGUGAGGAAGGUGGGGAUGACGUCAAAUCAGCACGGCCCUUACGUCCGGGGCUACACACGUGUUACAAUGGGGGGUACAGAAGGCGGCUACCUGGUGACAGGAUGCUAAUCCCAAAAACCUCUCUCAGUUCGGAUCGAAGUCUGCAACCCGACUUCGUGAAGCUGGAUUCGCUAGUAAUCGCGCAUCAGCCAUGGCGCGGUGAAUACGUUCCCGGGCCUUGUACACACCGCCCGUCAAGCCAUGAAAGCCGGGGGUACCUGAAGUACGUAACCGCAAGGAGCGUCCUAGGGUAAAACUGGUAAUUG
This 1431-nucleotide ribosomal RNA is filed under the name uncultured organism. RNAcentral's name for it is "16S ribosomal RNA". It matches the Rfam family "Bacterial small subunit ribosomal RNA". The record is from RNAcentral.